GGGUUGUGAGGUUAAGCGACUAAGCGUACACGGUGGAUGCCCUGGCAGUCAGAGGCGAUGAAGGACGUGCUAAUCUGCGAUAAGCGUCGGUAAGGUGAUAUGAACCGUUAUAACCGGCGAUUUCCGAAUGGGGAAACCCAGUGUGUUUCGACACACUAUCAUUAACUGAAUCCAUAGGUUAAUGAGGCGAACCGGGGGAACUGAAACAUCUAAGUACCCCGAGGAAAAGAAAUCAACCGAGAUUCCCCCAGUAGCGGCGAGCGAACGGGGAGCAGCCCAGAGCCUGAAUCAGURUGUGUGUUAGUGGAAGCGUCUGGAAAGGCGCGCGAUACAGGGUGACAGCCCCGUACACAAAAAUGCACAURYUGUGAGCUCGAUGAGUAGGGCGGGACACGUGGUAUCCUGUCUGAAUAUGGGGGGACCAUCCUCCAAGGCUAAAUACUCCUGACUGACCGAUAGUGAACCAGUACCGUGAGGGAAAGGCGAAAAGAACCCCGGCGAGGGGAGUGAAAAAGAACCUGAAACCGUGUACGUACAAGCAGUGGGAGCACGCUUAGGCGUGUGACUGCGUACCUUUUGUAUAAUGGGUCAGCGACUUAUAUUCUGUAGCAAGGUUAACCGAAUAGGGGAGCCGAAGGGAAACCGAGUCUUAACUGGGCGUUAAGUUGCAGGGUAUAGACCCGAAACCCGGUGAUCUAGCCAUGGGCAGGUUGAAGGUUGGGUAACACUAACUGGAGGACCGAACCGACUAAUGUUGAAAAAUUAGCGGAUGACUUGUGGCUGGGGGUGAAAGGCCAAUCAAACCGGGAGAUAGCUGGUUCUCCCCGAAAGCUAUUUAGGUAGCGCCUCGUGAAUUCAUCUCCGGGGGUAGAGCACUGUUUCGGCAAGGGGGUCAUCCCGACUUACCAACCCGAUGCAAACUGCGAAUACCGGAGAAUGUUAUCACGGGAGACACACGGCGGGUGCUAACGUCCGUCGUGAAGAGGGAAACAACCCAGACCGCCAGCUAAGGUCCCAAAGUCAUGGUUAAGUGGGAAACGAUGUGGGAAGGCCCAGACAGCCAGGAUGUUGGCUUAGAAGCAGCCAUCAUUUAAAGAAAGCGUAAUAGCUCACUGGUCGAGUCGGCCUGCGCGGAAGAUGUAACGGGGCUAAACCAUGCACCGAAGCUGCGGCAGCGACGCUKAUGCGUUGUUGGGUAGGGGAGCGUUCUGUAAGCCUGYGAAGGUGUGCUGUGAGGCAUGCUGGAGGUAUCAGAAGUGCGAAUGCUGACAUAAGUAACGAUAAAGCGGGUGAAAAGCCCGCUCGCCGGAAGACCAAGGGUUCCUGUCCAACGUUAAUCGGGGCAGGGUGAGUCGACCCCUAAGGCGAGGCCGAAAGGCGUAGUCGAUGGGAAACAGGUUAAUAUUCCUGUACUUGGUGUUACUGCGAAGGGGGGACGGAGAAGGCUAUGUUGGCCGGGCGACGGUUGUCCCGGUUUAAGCGUGUAGGCUGGUUUUCCAGGCAAAUCCGGAAAAUCAAGGCUGAGGCGUGAUGACGAGGCACUACGGUGCUGAAGCAACAAAUGCCCUGCUUCCAGGAAAAGCCUCUAAGCAUCAGGUAACAUCAAAUCGUACCCCAAACCGACACAGGUGGUCAGGUAGAGAAUACCAAGGCGCUUGAGAGAACUCGGGUGAAGGAACUAGGCAAAAUGGUGCCGUAACUUCGGGAGAAGGCACGCUGAUAUGUAGGUGAAGUCCCUCGCGGAUGGAGCUGAAAUCAGUCGAAGAUACCAGCUGGCUGCAACUGUUUAUUAAAAACACAGCACUGUGCAAACACGAAAGUGGACGUAUACGGUGUGACGCCUGCCCGGUGCCGGAAGGUUAAUUGAUGGGGUUAGCCGCAAGGCGAAGCUCUUGAUCGAAGCCCCGGUAAACGGCGGCCGUAACUAUAACGGUCCUAAGGUAGCGAAAUUCCUUGUCGGGUAAGUUCCGACCUGCACGAAUGGCGUAAUGAUGGCCAGGCUGUCUCCACCCGAGACUCAGUGAAAUUGAACUCGCUGUGAAGAUGCAGUGUACCCGCGGCAAGACGGAAAGACCCCGUGAACCUUUACUAUAGCUUGACACUGAACAUUGAGCCUUGAUGUGUAGGAUAGGUGGGAGGCUUDGAAGUGUGGACGCCAGUCUGCAUGGAGCCGACCUUGAAAUACCACCCUUUAAUGUUUGAUGUUCUAACGUUGACCCGUAAUCCGGGUUGCGGACAGUGUCUGGUGGGUAGUUUGACUGGGGCGGUCUCCUCCUAAAGAGUAACGGAGGAGCACGAAGGUUGGCUAAUCCUGGUCGGACAUCAGGAGGUUAGUGCAAUGGCAUAAGCCAGCUUGACUGCGAGCGUGACGGCGCGAGCAGGUGCGAAAGCAGGUCAUAGUGAUCCGGUGGUUCUGAAUGGAAGGGCCAUCGCUCAACGGAUAAAAGGUACUCCGGGGAUAACAGGCUGAUACCGCCCAAGAGUUCAUAUCGACGGCGGUGUUUGGCACCUCGAUGUCGGCUCAUCACAUCCUGGGGCUGAAGUAGGUCCCAAGGGUAUGGCUGUUCGCCAUUUAAAGUGGUACGCGAGCUGGGUUUAGAACGUCGUGAGACAGUUCGGUCCCUAUCUGCCGUGGGCGCUGGAGAACUGAGGGGGGCUGCUCCUAGUACGAGAGGACCGGAGUGGACGCAUCACUGGUGUUCGGGUUGUCAUGCCAAUGGCACUGCCCGGUAGCUAAAUGCGGAAGAGAUAAGUGCUGAAAGCAUCUAAGCACGAAACUUGCCCCGAGAUGAGUUCUCCCUGACUCCUUGAGAGUCCUGAAGGAACGUUGAAGACGACGACGUUGAUAGGCCGGGUGUGUAAGCGCAGCGAUGCGUUGAGCUAACCGGUACUAAUGAACCGUGAGGCUUAACCUUACAACGCCGAAG
This 2927-nucleotide ribosomal RNA is filed under the name Escherichia coli. Its description in RNAcentral is "partial 23S ribosomal RNA". It matches the Rfam family "Bacterial large subunit ribosomal RNA". The record is from RNAcentral. Lineage: Bacteria; Pseudomonadati; Pseudomonadota; Gammaproteobacteria; Enterobacterales; Enterobacteriaceae.